CUGCAGGUAAACAUGGCUUUGGGGUCCUUGGAAGAGCUGUAUGGUUUGGCCUGGCUGCACAGGACCUGAUCUGAGCUGCUUAUAACUUGUAAGCACUUGCAUAAAACAAAGGGGAGCUCAUUGCAUGGCCUGCAUGUCUGGGAGGCCUUCAGGCAUGGCUACAAAAAAUUCCAGAAGCAAGGGGGUGGCUGGAAGCUGCCCUCCCCAGUCUGAUUGCAUUUUUUGAAUUUUGUAUAAAGGUUGUCUGCUAAAACGUCAUAAGAUGGUUUUUGUUCUGGUGAACCCUGGGGCCUCACCCAUACAAGGCAAGCACUCUGCCACUGAGCUGCAUACCCAGCUCACAGACAUUUUUUAGUUGUAUGGACACAAUACCUUCAUUCUUAUGUGGUGUUGAGGAUCGAACCCAGUGCCUCACACAAGCUAGACAAGUAUGGUACCUAACACUGAGCUAUAACCGCAGAUCCUUCACUGUCUGAAAUUGCAGUUUUCAGCUUUACAUUUUUGCUUAAUUCUUAAGUCCAUUUGGGAGCAAAACUCCCAUUGCCUUGCAAAACAAUUAAAAUAUCAUAAAGCGCUUCUUGGUGUGCACAUAAUUAGCUUUAAUUUCAUAUACUGAAAUUCAUGUUUUGCUUGCUCAAGUUCAAAUGAUUUUUUUUUAAUAUUUUUCAGUUGCAGUUGGACACAACACCUAGACAUAAGUUAAGGCAGUUCUUAGAGAUACAGACCAAGGAAGCUCUUUGGUAGAUGUAUAAAUAAGGUCCUUGUGGUUUGGGAAACAUUACUUAUUCAAAUGGUAUUAGAGAAUUUAGGUUGCAGUCAUGUGGUGUGUGGGCUUAUGGCCUUUAAAGCUGUUAAAUUAUUACCAUGCCCAUCCUGAAGGUUUUUAAACUUGUUACUGUCCAGUGAAUAGACUUGAAAAAGUGUUUUGUUCAUUUCUUGUUUUCCUUGGCAGCAUUGCACAUAGAAGACUUACAUGGAGGGUUCUGCAGGUGUCGCUUGGUUGCAUGCCCUGCUGGGAGGAGGAUGCAGUUCCACACUAGUGGAUGGAAAUGCCUACAAUAUACCAUGUAGUUUUUAUCUUAAACAGGCCUAGAGAUAAUUUUCAGGCCAGGCAGUAUUAGGAGUUGAUACUAUAAUGUCAUAAUUUGCUAAACGUGAUGCUGCCCUUGUGAUCUUGGUAAGUUAAUCUACAACCAAGAACUUUGAGCCUUGAAUUUCUUCUGUGGAUCCUUUGGGUAACAGUGCUUGGAAUAAGAAACAUCUUGAGACACUUGGCCUGGCUAGAGCAUGGUGGCACAUUUAGUUGAGGAGGAUUGCAAGUUUAGGCCAGUCUGGCCUAGGCACUGGGAUUUAAAAAAUGAGGUUAAGAACCAUUAUGGCUCUUUUGAGUCCUGUGCUUCAUGAAUCAGUCCCUCAUCUGGAACCUUGCAAUGACUACAGAAUCUUUUUUUUUGGGAUUUGAACUGAAUACUAUGCAAUAGCUAUAUCACUCUUCUAUACCCCCAGCCUUAAGAAUCUGCAUUUUAAACCAGACAUGAGUGUGCAUCCCACCCCUGACCCCUGCCCCUGCCAUGUCCCUCAUCACCUGCAUGUUUAUACUUCAGAGGCACUACUUGGCUGGCCCUCUUGUUGGGAUGAGUGGUGCCAAACCAGGGACUUAGCAGGUUCCAGAGUUCAGAUGUAUAUUUCAAUUCUGAGUAUGUUAUUUUGACCACCGAGACAACUAAGUGUUUGUAUCCUUUAGACCUGUGUCCAUUGUCAAGGUUGGGUGAAAUAUCAGACAUAUUAGUGGGAAUUUUCAUGUGAAAUUUUUUUUAUUGAAUGUUCGGAGCAGUGUUGAAGUAGGAAAGUAUUACUUUCCUUCCUUUUCUGUGUGUGCAGAUGAGACCUAAUGCUCAGAAGUGAAGUGACUUCCCUAAAGCUCCCUGAAAGUUCAAUUUGGGUGCACUGAAAAUAAACGUACAGAUAGAUGGUACCAGAACAGUUUGGGGAUGUAAACUUUUCCUGAAAAUUGGGCCCUGUGUGGGGUUAACAGGUGCUUUGUAUAUAUAUAUGUAGUCUAUUGUGAUGCCAUGUGGUUCUAUAAUAGGGUUUGAAAACAUAGCUUGGGGUUGGAGUUGUAGCUCAGUGGUUGAGUGCUUGCCUAGUACAGGUGAGUCACUGGGUUUACUCCUUGGCACCACAUAAAAAAUAAAGGUUAAAUUCUUAAAAAAUCUCCAAACUGUCUUCCAAAGUAGCUUCAUAUUUCCACAAGCAAUUAAUUAAAAUGCCUUAAAAAAAAAAAAACCUACAGUGUGGAAUGAAUGUGGCUUUAAUGUGGGGCAGAUCUAGUUUUGAAGUCUUGCUAUGCAGUUCUGUGCUGUAGGGCCCUGGGUAAAUCCUGGGGCCUAAACUUCUGACCCUCCCACAUUUUUCCAUCUGUAAGACAGAUGUUGAAGGGAGCAAUAAAUGUGGAGUUUGGUUUUGACAGUACUAUAGAUAUGUCAUAGAGUCAGGACUGAUGGAGGCUGUAGGUGACCUUCUGCAGGAAAAGCCCAAGGAAAGACAGCCAGUGUUGGGUUCUACUAUGGCAGGUCAGGUACAGCUAAUAUCAAGCUAAGGAACUGUGGGAAGUGAAAGCAUGGGGUUUUAGAAAAGCAAGGUGUCAGUCUAGAAGGUCGGAAGUCUAAGACCUAGAUUGGACUGACUUGUCUGAUGUCUGGGCAUUGCAUUACCUCAGGUGGGGCUCCAGAGAAGAACAGUCCGAAAACAGUACCUGCCCUAGCAUUUUUUUGGUGGGGGUGGGGGCAGGGGGGUUAGUGAGGCUGGAACCCAGCAGUUCUCUACCACUGAGCUACAUUCCAGGUCUUUUUUUGGGGUGGUAAUGGUGGGGUACUGGGGAUUAAACCUCAGGGGCAUUCUACCACUGAGCCACAUCCCCAGCCCUAUUUUGUAUUUGAUUUAGAGAUAGUGAGGCCUUAAGCAACUUAGUGAGACCUAAGUGCUGAGGCUGGCUUUGAACUUGUGAUCCUCCUGCCUCAGCCUCCCAAGCCACUGGGAUUACAGGCAUGUGCUACUGCAUGCGGCCCCCAGUCCUUUGAAAAUAAAUGCCUCACCCUCAACUCCUGCCCAAAUCUUUGAGGACGGGUUCCAUUAGCUUUCUAAAGCUGGCCUUGAAUUUGUUGUCCUGCCAUUCGUUGGAGUUGCUGUAUUAUAGGAGUGGGCCACUAGGCACAGUGUACUUGGGGGUGUGUGUGUGGGGGAUACAUUUUAGAGACAGGGUCUCACAGCCCCUUGCUUU
This 3280-nucleotide long non-coding RNA is filed under the name Marmota monax (woodchuck). Lineage: Eukaryota; Metazoa; Chordata; Mammalia; Rodentia; Sciuridae. The record is from RNAcentral.